GAUGAACGCUGGCGGCGUGCCUAAUACAUGCAAGUCGAGCGAACAGAUGAGGAGCUUGCUCCUCUGCCGUUAGCGGCGGACGGGUGAGUAACACGUGGAUAACCUACCUAUAAGACUGGGAUAACUUCGGGAAACCGGUGCUAAUACUGGAUAAUAUAUUUAACCGCAUGAUUCAAUAGUGAAAGACGGUUUUGCUGUCACUUAUAGAUGGUUCCGCGUCGCAUUAGCUAGUUGGUAAGGUAACGGCUUACCAAGGCAACGAUGCGUAGCCGACCUGAGAGGGUGAUCAGCCACACUGGAACUGAGACACGGUCCAGACUCCUACGGGAGGCAGCAGUAGGGAAUAUUGCGCAAUGGGCGAAAGCCUGACGGAGCAACGCCGCGUGAGUGAUGAAGGUCUUCGGAUCGUAAAACUCUGUUAUUAGGGAAGAAAAGAUGUGGAAGUAAAUAUGGACGUCUUGACGGUACCUAAUCAGAAAGCAACGGCUAACUACGUG
RNAcentral lists this ribosomal RNA (497 nucleotides) under uncultured bacterium. RNAcentral's name for it is "partial 16S ribosomal RNA". It matches the Rfam family "Bacterial small subunit ribosomal RNA", at positions 28 to 507 of the family's 1533-position model. The record is from RNAcentral.